GAUGAACGCUGGCGGCGUGCCUAAUACAUGCAAGUCGAGCGAACAGACGAGGAGCUUGCUCCUCUGACGUUAGCGGCGGACGGGUGAGUAACACGUGGAUAACCUACCUAUAAGACUGGGAUAACUUCGGGAAACCGGAUCUAAUACCGGAUAAUAUAUUGAACCGCAUUGUUCAAUAGUGAAAGACGGUUUUGCUGUCACUUAUAGCUGGAUCCGCGCCGCAUGAGCUAGUUGGUAAGGUAACGGCUUACCAAGGCAACGAUGCGUAGCCGACCUGACAGGGUGGUCGGCGGCACUGGAGCUGAGACACGGUCCAGACUCCUACGGGAGGGCGCAGUAGGGAAUCUUCCGCAAUGGGCGAAAGCAUGACGGAGCAACGCCGCGUGAGUGAUGAAGGCCUUCGGAUCGUAAAACUCUGUUUUUAGGGAAGAACAAAUGUGUAAGUAACUAUGCACGUCUUGACGGUACCGAAUCAGAAAGCCACGGCUAACUACGUG
Molecule: ribosomal RNA, 497 nt
Filed under: uncultured bacterium
Lineage: Bacteria
Description: partial 16S ribosomal RNA
Rfam family: Bacterial small subunit ribosomal RNA
Source: RNAcentral